RNAcentral lists this ribosomal RNA (242 nucleotides) under uncultured bacterium. RNAcentral's name for it is "partial 16S ribosomal RNA". It matches the Rfam family "Bacterial small subunit ribosomal RNA", at positions 94 to 334 of the family's 1533-position model. The record is from RNAcentral.
AGUGGCGAACGGGUGAGUAAUACAUAAGCAACCUACCCACGAAGACUGGGAUAAUCUCUGGAAACGGGGACUAAUACCGGAUAGGUAAUCGGAAGGCAUCUUCUGGUUAUUAAAGGUUAAAAACACUGGUGGAUGGGCUUAUGGCGCAUUAGUUAGUUGGUGAGGUAACGGCCCACCAAGACGAUGAUGCGUAGCCGGCCUGAGAGGGUGAACGGCCACAUUGGGACUGAGACACGGCCCAG